RNAcentral lists this long non-coding RNA (331 nucleotides) under Olea europaea subsp. europaea. Lineage: Eukaryota; Viridiplantae; Streptophyta; Magnoliopsida; Lamiales; Oleaceae. The record is from RNAcentral.
CUAUCCCAAUUACGUGAUGGACUAAAAAAUGAAGUAUCCAGGCUCCGUUUAGAAAAAACCCAAUUGGUAAUAUAUCUAUGAUUACUACUUGUAUCAUAAAUGAUUCCUGUUUGGUAUUUGUAAAGAUAUCCUAUUUGUCAAGCGAGGGAAUCUCAAACUAAAUACUUGGUGAAAGGUAUGAAAUGAAUUGAAAAAAAAAAAAGAAAGUCAUAACAAAAAGAAAUGGUAAUGGGAAGAUUUGUCCCAUAUGUGCAAAUCAAAAUCGGGCGGAUCUUUACCCGGAGUAGAGCAUAAACCUAAAAAGAUGAAAGAGACCCAUUCANUUGUUACU